CCUACGGGUGGCAGCAGUGGGGAAUAUUGGACAAUGGAGGAAACCCUGAUCCAGCGACGCCGCGUGAGUGAAGAAGGAUUUCUGUACGUAAAGCUCUAUCAGCAGGAAAGAAAAUGACGGUACCUGACUAAUAAGCCCCGGCUAACUACGUGCCAGCAGCCGCGGUAAUACGUAGGGGGCAAGCGUUAUCCGGAUUUACUGGGUGUAAAGGGGGCGUAGACGGCAGCGCAAGUCUGGAGUGAAAUGCCGGGGCACAACCCCGAAACUGCUCUGGAAACUGUGAAGAUGGAGUGCAGGAGAGGUAAGCGGAAUUCCUGGUGUAGCGGUGAAAUGCGUAGAUAUCAGGAGGAACACCGACGGCGAAGGCAGCUUACUGGACUGUAACUGACGUUGAGGCUCGAAGGCGUGGGGAGCAAACAGGAUUAGAUACCCGUGUAGUC
This 440-nucleotide ribosomal RNA is filed under the name uncultured bacterium. RNAcentral describes it as "partial 16S ribosomal RNA". It matches the Rfam family "Bacterial small subunit ribosomal RNA", at positions 338 to 795 of the family's 1533-position model. The record is from RNAcentral.